UGGGGAAUCUUGCGCAAUGGGCGAAAGCCUGACGCAGCCAUGCCGCGUGAAUGAUGAAGGUCUUAGGAUUGUAAAAUUCUUUCACCGGGGACGAUAAUGACGGUACCCGGAGAAGAAGCCCCGGCUAACUUCGUGCCAGCAGCCGCGGUAAUACGAAGGGGGCUAGCGUUGCUCGGAAUUACUGGGCGUAAAGGGAGCGUAGGCGGACAUUUAAGUCAGGGGUGAAAUCCCGGGGCUCAACCUCGGAAUUGCCUUUGAUACUGGGUGUCUUGAGUGUGAGAGAGGUAUGUGGAACUCCGAGUGUAGAGGUGAAAUUCGUAGAUAUUCGGAAGAACACCAGUGGCGAAGGCGACAUACUGGCUCAUUACUGACGCUGAGGCUCGAAAGCGUGGGGAGCAAACAGGAUUAGAUACCCUGGUAGUCCACGCCGUAAACGAUGAUUGCUAGUUGUCGGGAUGCAUGCAUUUCGGUGACGCAGCUAACGCAUUAAGCAAUCCGCCUGGGGAGUACGGUCGCAAGAUUAAAACUUAAAGGAAUUGAC
RNAcentral lists this ribosomal RNA (541 nucleotides) under uncultured bacterium. RNAcentral's name for it is "partial 16S ribosomal RNA". It matches the Rfam family "Bacterial small subunit ribosomal RNA", at positions 355 to 914 of the family's 1533-position model. The record is from RNAcentral.